RNAcentral lists this ribosomal RNA (440 nucleotides) under uncultured bacterium. RNAcentral's name for it is "bacterial SSU rRNA". It matches the Rfam family "Bacterial small subunit ribosomal RNA", at positions 772 to 1210 of the family's 1533-position model. The record is from RNAcentral.
ACUCAAUAGAUACCCGGGUAGUCCACGCUGUAAACGAUGGGUACUAGGCUUUGUGGGAAUAGACCCCUGCAGAGCCGGAGCUAAACGCAAUAAGUACCCCGCCUGGGAAGUACGGUCGCAAGACUAAAACUCAAAGGAAUUGACGGGGGCCCGCACAAGCGGUGGAUCAUGUGGUUUAAUUCGAAGCAACGCGCAAAACCUUACCUGGGUUUGACAUCCCCGGACAUCCGUAGAAAUACGGCUUCUGUAGCAAUACAGCCGGGAGACGGGUGCUGCAUGGCUGUCGUCAGCUCGUGUGGUGACAUGUUGGGUUAAGUCCCGCAACGAGCGCAACCCUUGUCUUUAGUUGCCAGCAUUCAGUUGGGCACUCUAGAGAGACUGCCGUGGUUAACACGGAGGAAGGUGGGGAUGACGUCAAGUCCUCAUGGCCUUUAUAUCCA